UAGUCCACGCCGUAAACGAUGGUCACUAGCUGUUCGGACUUCGGUUUGAGUGGCUAAGAGAAAUUGAUAAGUGACCCACCUGGGGAGUACGUUCGCAAGAAUGAAACUCAAAGGAAUUGACGGGGGCCCGCACAAGCGGUGGAGCAUGUGGUUUAAUUCGAUGAUACGCGGGGAACCUUACCAGGGCUUAAAUGUAAGUUGCAUUAGUUAGAGAUAGCUAUUUCUUCGGACCACUUACAAGGUGCUGCAUGGUUGUCGUCAGCUCGUGCCGUGAGGUGUCAGGUUAAGUCCUAUAACGAGCGCAACCCUUGUUUCCAGUUGCCAGCACAUAAUGGUGGGGACUCUGGAGAGACUGCCGGCGCAAGCCGCGAGGAAGGUGGGGACGACGUCAAAUCAUCAUGGCCUUUAUGCCUGGGGCUACACACGUGCUACAAUGGCAGGUACAGAGGGCAGCGAAGCGGCGACGUGUAGCUAAUCCCUUAAAGCCUGUCCCAGUUCGGAUUGGAGU
Molecule: ribosomal RNA, 508 nt
Filed under: uncultured bacterium
Lineage: Bacteria
Description: bacterial SSU rRNA
Rfam family: Bacterial small subunit ribosomal RNA
Source: RNAcentral